This 197-nucleotide ribosomal RNA is filed under the name uncultured bacterium. Its description in RNAcentral is "partial 16S ribosomal RNA". It matches the Rfam family "Bacterial small subunit ribosomal RNA", at positions 328 to 539 of the family's 1533-position model. The record is from RNAcentral.
ACGCUCGACACCUACGGGGGCAGCAGUGGGGAAUAUUGCACAAUGGGGGAAACCCUGAUGCAGCGAUGCCGCGUGAAGGAAGAAGUAUCUCGGUAUGUAAACUUCUAUCAGCAGGGAAGAAAAUGACGGUACCUGACUAAGAAGCCCCGGCUAACUACGUGUCAGCAGCCGCGGUAAUCUGAGCGGGCUGGCAAGGC